Molecule: ribosomal RNA, 492 nt
Filed under: uncultured bacterium
Lineage: Bacteria
Description: partial 16S ribosomal RNA
Rfam family: Bacterial small subunit ribosomal RNA
Source: RNAcentral
AUUGAACGCUGGCGGCAUGCUUUACACAUGCAAGUCGAACGGUAACAGGCCUUCGGGUGCUGACGAGUGGCGGACGGGUGAGUAAUGCAUCGGAACGUACCCAGAGGUGGGGGAUAACGCAGCGAAAGCUGUGCUAAUACCGCAUGUGAUCUGAGGAUGAAAGCGGGGGACCGAGCAGCAAUGUUUGGCCUCGCGCCUUUGGAGCGGCCGAUGUCGGAUUAGCUAGUUGGUGGGGUAAAGGCCUACCAAGGCGACGAUCCGUAGCUGGUCUGGGAGGACGACCAGCCACACUGGGACUGAGACACGGCCCAGACUCCUACGGGAGGCAGCAGUGGGGAAUUUUGGACAAUGGGCGCAAGCCUGAUCCAGCAAUGCCGCGUGCGGGAAGAAGGCCUUCGGGUUGUAAACCGCUUUUGGCAGGAACGAAACGGUGUCCGCUAAUACCGGGCGCUAAUGACGGUACCUGCAGAAUAAGCACCGGCUAACUACGUG